AUCGCAAGACCUCGCGCGAUUGGAGCGGCCGAUGGCAGAUUAGGUAGUUGGUGGGGUAAAGGCUCACCAAGCCGACGAUCUGUAGCUGGUCUGAGAGGACGACCAGCCACACUGGGACUGAGACACGGCCCAGACUCCUACGGGAGGCAGCAGUGGGGAAUUUUGGACAAUGGGCGCAAGCCUGAUCCAGCCAUUCCGCGUGCAGGAUGAAGGCCCUCGGGUUGUAAACUGCUUUUGUACGGAACGAAAAGGUGCUCUCUAAUACAGGGCGCUGAUGACGGUACCGUAAGAAUAAGCACCGGCUAACUACGUGCCAGCAGCCGCGGUAAUACGUAGGGUGCAAGCGUUAAUCGGAAUUACUGGGCGUAAAGCGUGCGCAGGCGGUGAUGUAAGACAGGUGUGAAAUCCCCGGGCUUAACCUGGGAACUGCAUUUGUGACUGCAUCGCUGGAGUGCGGCAGAGGGGGAUGGAAUUCCGCGUGUAGCAGUGAAAUGCGUAGAUAUGCGGAGGAACACCGAUGGCGAAGGCAAU
RNAcentral lists this ribosomal RNA (531 nucleotides) under Ramlibacter sp. RNAcentral describes it as "bacterial SSU rRNA". It matches the Rfam family "Bacterial small subunit ribosomal RNA", at positions 202 to 725 of the family's 1533-position model. The record is from RNAcentral. Lineage: Bacteria; Pseudomonadati; Pseudomonadota; Betaproteobacteria; Burkholderiales; Comamonadaceae.